RNAcentral lists this ribosomal RNA (561 nucleotides) under Salmonella enterica. RNAcentral's name for it is "partial 23S ribosomal RNA". It matches the Rfam family "Bacterial large subunit ribosomal RNA", at positions 628 to 1190 of the family's 2925-position model. RNAcentral also lists the same sequence under 2 other names. The record is from RNAcentral. Lineage: Bacteria; Pseudomonadati; Pseudomonadota; Gammaproteobacteria; Enterobacterales; Enterobacteriaceae.
UUAUAUUCUGUAGCAAGGUUAACCGUAUAGGGGAGCCGCAGGGAAACCGAGUCUUAACCGGGCGUUAAGUUGCAGGGUAUAGACCCGAAACCCGGUGAUCUAGCCAUGGGCAGGUUGAAGGUUGGGUAACACUAACUGGAGGACCGAACCGACUAAUGUUGAAAAAUUAGCGGAUGACCUGUGGCUGGGGGUGAAAGGCCAAUCAAACCGGGAGAUAGCUGGUUCUCCCCGAAAGCUAUUUAGGUAGCGCCUCGUGAAUUCAUCUCCGGGGGUAGAGCACUGUUUCGGCUAGGGGGCCAUCCCGGCUUACCAACCCGAUGCAAACUGCGAAUACCGGAGAAUGUUAUCACGGGAGACACACGGCGGGUGCUAACGUCCGUCGUGAAGAGGGAAACAACCCAGACCGCCAGCUAAGGUCCCAAAGUCAUGGUUAAGUGGGAAACGAUGUGGGAAGGCCCAGACAGCCAGGAUGUUGGCUUAGAAGCAGCCAUCAUUUAAAGAAAGCGUAAUAGCUCACUGGUCGAGUCGGCCUGCGCGGAAGAUGUAACGGGGCUAAACCAU